UUGCUCCUAAACACUAAACAUAAACCCUACACCCUAAAUCCCAAACCCUAAAAUCUUAUCCCUACUUUAACUUCCUGGUUCUUAUUCCGUUUCUAGUUUUUAUACUAAAUGAUAAACAAAACAUCAAGUCAAUUUGGACUACAAAAACACAAACCAAGCUUCUUCAUGAUUCUCAAAGCUUUGAUGGUAAACCCGAAGUUCUUAACAGUUUUUGGUUUUGAAUCGUAUAACAAGGAAGCACUACUUUACUCUUCUGGAUCUCGUUGAGGUUCUAGUUUUAUAUCCAAUCAUACACAUAACAUCUACUCAUAUUUCAC
Molecule: small RNA, 317 nt
Filed under: Arabidopsis thaliana (thale cress)
Lineage: Eukaryota; Viridiplantae; Streptophyta; Magnoliopsida; Brassicales; Brassicaceae
Description: ATSL038080
Source: RNAcentral